This 256-nucleotide long non-coding RNA is filed under the name Manihot esculenta (cassava). RNAcentral's name for it is "long non-coding RNA (MESC_LNC000832)". Lineage: Eukaryota; Viridiplantae; Streptophyta; Magnoliopsida; Malpighiales; Euphorbiaceae. The record is from RNAcentral.
CUUAAUAUUCCAAAUGACUUAAGCUCCGCCCAAGAGGGGCAGCAGUUCUCUUUUUCUAGCCCUACGACGUUGAACAACCAAACACCCAUCUCUCUUAAUCCCUCGCCAGGCUUGGCAGGGAAUACUCCCACCAUGACCCUAUCUAACCAAGACAUUCAAACCAUGGCUCUCCAGCUACAAACCACUGCUCACUGGUUGGGGCAGAUAAUGCAACAAAGGGGACUUAGCACCCCAGUAAACGCACUCCCAGUAGUGG